Molecule: long non-coding RNA, 2597 nt
Organism: Bubalus bubalis (water buffalo)
Lineage: Eukaryota; Metazoa; Chordata; Mammalia; Artiodactyla; Bovidae
Exons: 3
Source: RefSeq, a predicted model, not a curated record
AACAGGGAAGCCUGGCAUGCUGCAGUCCAUGGGUUCGCAAAGUCGGAUACGACCGAGCGACUAACAACAAGGCAGCAAGGUAAUUCGUCUAGUAUAUCCAGCUCACCAAGGUCCGACCCGGCCCUCCUGCCUUCAGUCUUGUAUCCUGUUCUUCCCACCGUCUUCAACACAUCAACUUCAUUCUCUUCCUAGUUCUUGUUUUCUCAUCAAUUCACAAACUGAACCCCGUGUGACGCCUGCUAGCAAUUCCCCCUUCCUGGUCCUCCCCUUCCAGGACUUCCUUUUUCCUUCUAUAACAAGCUGGAAAUUCAGAGUCCAUAGCGUUCUACCUGCUCCAUGGGGCCCCAUAGGGAGUUCUGAUUCUGGAACUUUCUGUCAUACUUGAGCCAUCCUUGGCUGGCAGGUUUUGGAGGUGACACAUGUCACCUCCUUAACUCGAGCCCCUGUGCCUUUACCCAGACUGUCCCUUACUACACUUCACUAGUGUUUGAGUUGUAGCUGCUCCUGUGUUUCUAACCCAUAUGGUCCUUUAGAGAAGGGGCUGGGCUUUGCGUUCUAUACGGUGCAUAACACAGGGCACAAGAUAAAUAUAUGCGGAAUGAGAGGCUGCAAGUCUCAUGUUACUCUUUGGUACUUCAGAACUUCAGGACUAAAGUAUGUGUUUUUAAAUCUGACCAAGGGACUUCUCUUGGCUCUCACCCUUCCCUGGGGGCCUAUGCAUGUACCCUCUGCCUGGACCCCUCUGAACCCCACCCCUGGUAUCCCCUGCUUCUCCCCCUAUGAUAUCUCAUCCCCCACCCCCGGGGAGAGGCAGGAGACUCCUUCAGUCUCACUGUGUCAGUCCCUCCUCUGUCUUCCCAUGGAGCCUUCUUUGUGCUUCUGUUAUACAACCUGCCCUGUUACACUGUGAUUUCUUCUCUCUCUCUUUCCCACUCAACCAACAGCUCCAUGGGAGCCACAGCCACGUCUCAUUCAUGGAAUAGAUGCUCAGUAUGUGUUUGGUUCAGUCAGUCUUCCAGCAAUUUAGAAAAGCCCCACCUCCUCACAGCUGCCCACCUUCCCUCCUACACACAGUUCCAGAUUUUCACACAUCUAGAGCCUCCCCAGAGCUUGCUUUGUGUGGAGCUAAGCACGUAGUAGGUAUUCAAUAAAAACUCGAAGGCUGAUAUGCAUGUAUCUCCUCCCUCCAAAAUGAGGACAUAACAGCACUUCUUAGCUGAAAUCAAGAGACCCAGCUGGGGCCGAGUAAACCAGGAAUAAGCUGCCAAAAACAGCUAAGCACACUCGUCCGUACAGCUGGCAGGCCAAGAACUGCUCACUCCAGCUCUGCCUCGUAGAGCAGGAGCAGUUUGCCAGGCCCUCCUCCCCCACCCCAGGAGCUGUUCCUCUUGCCCUCCGUGGAGAUCCCAAAUAAGGCAACCCAAAGCCAAGCUAGAGGAAGAUAAAGGAGGAGCUCAAAGAAGGGGCUCGUUCCAGCUGCAUGGUGCUGUGUGUUUUUAAAGGAGAGAAAACAGAAUUAAAAGAAUGCCUUUUCUCUUUCAGAGACAACCACAAGCAAAAUUACCCAGGCUUUCCCACCUCCAGAAGAUUUUUUUUUCCCCCUAAUAGGACUUAGAACAUAGGGAAGAAGGUUCAAGCUUUGCUUGACAUCCAGUCACUCUCCCCACUUUCCGCUUGAUGGAGCAGGUCUACACCCGCUGUGGCUUCUCAACAUCAGGGGAACUGACUCAAUACCCGCAUGCGUGCAUGUGUUUUUCACAAGGGAAGCUGGGAGGUACAAUCUCUGUACAAGAUAAUCUCUGGCAUCAUCACACUUGAGAAGCUGAAGAAGCUGUGAAGUCACCAUCACCCAUUCCAAAAUCCUAAACCUAAGAGAAGCCAACGACAGAAUUCUUGUGACAUCGCAAAACAGAUCAAUGGUGGUGAAAAUGCGUGACUCAUACAGGUGCCAUGGGACCUACCUCAUUGAUAAGUGUACUGUGAAUUGUGUUCAGCUCAAGGCUUCCUCCCACAGUGGAAGAACCUCCUCUUCUCAGAGGCUCCAUGACCCCAUCCCAUUCAUAAACCAGAGCCUGAGCUUAUGAAUGAAUCACACACAGAGCUGAGAAGUCUCACAGAGAGGACUCCUGACCCUCUGCCCUCACUCCAUCCCCCCUACAAUCUAAUUCAUCAAAUCUGGUUACUGAUUUCAAGUCUAACUUUAAGUUAAUUUUGGAUAUACUACUUCUCACUCCAAAGUAGAAAAGAGCUGGAGUGCUUCCUAGUUAGAGGAAAUAAUCAUGGAAGUGUUUCUUAGAGUUAAUCAAAGGUACUCUUCUUUCCUAUAUUAAAAUACGCAAAAUUAAAUUAUACCAAGAUUGGUCUUUAUUCUUUUCAUUCCCUCAUAGGUUUGAGUUGUCACCUGAAUGGUGCUCUAUUUCUAAAUAGCAUUUCCCUCCCCAGCACACAAGCUAUUUUAUUUGUCUGGCUUACACAGCUGCCAGCCUCAGCAAUGUCAUACACCUGGCAUUUCCACUCCCCCGUGUUUUCGCCUUUCCAGCCAAGAACUCUGGCCUUCUGUACCUGCUCCCCACUAAAGAACACUUUCUUCAAUGUAA